RNAcentral lists this ribosomal RNA (440 nucleotides) under uncultured bacterium. Its description in RNAcentral is "partial 16S ribosomal RNA". It matches the Rfam family "Bacterial small subunit ribosomal RNA", at positions 338 to 795 of the family's 1533-position model. The record is from RNAcentral.
CCUACGGGAGGCAGCAGUAGGGAAUAUUGCUCAAUGGGGGAAACCCUGAAGCAGCAACGCCGCGUGGAGGAUGAAGGUUUUCGGAUUGUCAACUCCUUUUGUUAGAGAAGAUAAUGACGGUAUCUAACGAAUAAGCACCGGCUAACUCCGUGCCAGCAGCCGCGGUACUACGGAGGGUGCAAGCGUUACUCGGACUAACUUGGUGUACAGAGCGCGUAGGCGGGAUAGCAAGUCAGAUGUGAAAUCCUAUGGCUUAACCAUAGAACUGCAUUUGAAACUGUUAUUCUAGAGUAUGGGAGAGGCAGGUGGAAUUCUUGGUGUAGGGGUAAAAUCCGUAGAGAUCAAGAGGAAUACUCAUUGCGAAGGCGACCUGCUAGAACAUAACUGACGCUGAUGCGCGAAAGCGUGGGGAGCAAACAGGAUUAGAUACCCGUGUAGUC